Molecule: ribosomal RNA, 571 nt
Filed under: uncultured bacterium
Lineage: Bacteria
Description: partial 16S ribosomal RNA
Rfam family: Bacterial small subunit ribosomal RNA
Source: RNAcentral
UGGGGAAUUUUGGACAAUGGGCGCAAGCCUGAUCCAGCCAUGCCGCGUGCGGGAAGAAGGCCUUCGGGUUGUAAACCGCUUUUGUCAGGGAAGAAAUCUUCUGAGUUAAUACCUCGGGAGGAUGACGGUACCUGCAGAAUAAGCACCGGCUAACUACGUGCCAGCAGCCGCGGUAAUACGUAGGGUGCAAGCGUUAAUCAGAAUUGCUGGGCGUAAAGCGUGCGCAGGCGGUUUUGUAAGACAGAGGUGAAAUCCCCGGGCUCAACCUGGGAACUGCCUUUGUGACUGCAAGGCUUGAGUGCGGCAGAGGGGGAUGGAAUUCCGCGUGUAGCAGUGAAAUGCGUAGAUAUGCGGAGGAACACCGAUGGCGAAGGCAAUCCCCUGGGCCUGCACUGACGCUCAUGCACGAAAGCGUGGGGAGCAAACAGGAUUAGAUACCCUGGUAGUCCACGCCCUAAACGAUGUCAACUGGUUGUUGGGAAGGUUCCUUCUCAGUAACGUAGCUAACGCGUGAAGUUGACCGCCUGGGGAGUACGGCCGCAAGGUUGAAACUUAAAUGAAUUGACGGGGU